Panicum virgatum (switchgrass) is the source of this 1516-nucleotide long non-coding RNA. RefSeq lists it as uncharacterized. The transcript has 9 exons. The record is from RefSeq and is a predicted model, not a curated record. NCBI's taxonomy places the organism in Eukaryota, Viridiplantae, Streptophyta, Magnoliopsida, Poales, Poaceae.
CUUGCUGUUGUCAAUGCUGCUAAGCACGAGAUACAAGUGCUCGACUCGUUUGGUACACUCUUAGGACACAGGGAGCUCGAAGCUACAUUGCAAGGUAUGGAGAAAGAAAUAAAGUUCAUAUACGAGUGUGUUACUGUAGAAAAGAAUGUAUGGCCAAACCUUGAUGUAGCUUCGUGGCCAAGAAAAGAGAUUCUACCACAUCGGCAGCAAACAGAUGGUUGUUCAUGUGGCCUAUUCUUAAUCAAUUUUGUGGAGUAUUGGACCGGAGAAGAGCUUUCCAACACCAUAACACAGCAAUAUAUGACAAGAUUCAGGUUGAAACUUGCUGCUAUUUUGUUAUCGACUGGGUUUAACAUUCGGAGAGGACGUCCAUUGUUUCCGAGCAAUGACGAUGAUAAACCUGGAAGUCCAAAUGAUGUUGUGGAAAUAGAGAAUCCUGAAAAGCAGAGCACAACUUCAAUCAAGAGAAAGCGUGAUAGAGAUGGUGAUAUCAUAUCAUAUCAACUCAACAAACCUCUACACAGAAUCAUCGUGAUGGAGAUAACUUUUUAGGCUAUAUUUCAGAGCUGUAUGGGAACCUGCCCAAAAAAGAGUUGACAGGAAUAUUGUGUGAUUACAUCAGGUCGAUUGAUGAUGCCGCUGCCUUGGAGAAGUGUGUGAUGCGAAGCUUUAAACCUUACGAUAUUGCGUUAACUAUAAAAGAUCUACAGGAGAUAUUACGAAUAGAUACAUGUAUAUCUGUGAAAUGUUUCAACCUGGGUGUUCGUUGUCGCGCCUAUCUCAAGUACUGACAGUUGACAUAUUAUAAUAAUGCCAUCUCAAGGGAUUUUAUGGAUCUACGAUUCUGUAUGAUGUGUGAUUUGACACGAGAUCCAAAAUUUUAUCAUGGGAUAUCAUGAAAUAUGAUCACUUGCGUUGCAAAUACUUCCUUCUGCCAUGGUUCACCGGGGAAAAACUUCAUGUUAUAUAUGUUGGAUCAUAUGGAUAAGAAAAUAUAUGUGAUUGAUCCAUCACCCAUUCCGAGUUGGUGUGAAGGAAAUGCGUUCAGAAAGUACGGAAAGAAUCUUACGCAUUUCAGUAAAAGUUACAUGUCCGCAAUGAACGUUCAAAGCUCCGGGUGGUACGAGGAUAUAUACAAGUGGUCUUUCAGACAUGAAAAAGAAAUUGUUCAAGACAGUGAAGAAGGGUAUUCUAUGGGCUACCUAGUUUUGCAGUACAUGUCUACAUGGAAAAAUACGCAAAACACAGAGAUUUGUAAGGAUGCCCGCACUAUGCGAGAGAACUUCAUCAUCGAUGUGUUGGCAUCGGAUUUAAAUGCUUAUUGGAAACUGCUACCUGCGAAUGUUAAAGAUUAUCUUAGCCGCAUCACAGAUAAAAAUAUAAAAUAGAAUAUAGUGUACAAUUGGUUGAAUAUUUAGUUGUCUUUGGUGACAAUGGCGAUCCAAUUGCUUUGAUUUAUUUCACCAUAACUUUUGGAGUGACAACGUUAUAUACGAUGAAUGUUUUUAUUUGCUGA